Molecule: ribosomal RNA, 78 nt
Filed under: Bacillus sp. (in: firmicutes)
Lineage: Bacteria; Bacillati; Bacillota; Bacilli; Caryophanales; Bacillaceae
Also listed under: 1 other name
Description: partial 16S ribosomal RNA
Rfam family: Bacterial small subunit ribosomal RNA
Source: RNAcentral
UUCUUGGAGAGUUUGAUCCUGGCUCAGGACGAACGCUGGCGGCGUGCCUAAUACAUGCAAGUCGAGCGAACCACUUCG